This 954-nucleotide long non-coding RNA is filed under the name Marmota monax (woodchuck). Lineage: Eukaryota; Metazoa; Chordata; Mammalia; Rodentia; Sciuridae. The record is from RNAcentral.
AAAAAAACAGGAAAAACUUCAUUCAGAUUUGAGACUAGAAAUGACCAUUCUGAAGAAAUGUCAUGCUCUAAAGAGAGUAUUGUUUUCCUUGAAAAUGUCUCUCUAGUUAGCAACCAGAACAGACAACCUUCCACACCAAGUACAAGAAGCCUUAAGCAUUCUGGCUGAAAGCUUUGUUUUCUCUGUCUCAUGCUUCAGAGAAGACAAUUGAGAUCUUAUAGGUCAAGAACUAGGGCAGAGAAGGUUUUGGAGAAUUCAGAGUGCAUUAUGAGGAAAGUAGGACCUAAAUAAAACUGAGUGAGGAGCCCUGAAAUAUGGGAAAUCAUCAAAGUUUGAACAGAGGCACCCAUUACAAAGAAUUCUGUCACUCUACCAGGUUGCUUAGUGAACCCCUUCAACACAAGUUGGUGGGGAAGGAAGAAGGAGAGAAAUGGGGUAUCAUUCAUAAAAUGGGCUUUUCUAGAACCAUGUCUUGAUGUGUGAAGUGCCCAUAAGUUCUUGAUUGUCAAAGAAAGCCCAUUUGUCCAUCCUUUUGGCCUAGAUGACAAAUCUUUCAGCUUUGAACCCCAAAUCAAAUCUCAUCACCCUAGCCAGAGGCUGCUCUUAAGACAGGGAAUAUCUAAUGAUAAAUACUUAAAAAUUCAAUAAAGUCUUUUAAAGAUAGACUUUAUUUUUAGGGGUUUGGAACAAUCAUUUCCUUUACAGAGCCAGCAUCUACCUGAUUCUUUAAGCUACUGUGUUGAUUUUGUAACAUUUGAGUCUUGGGGCAGAUGUUAACAUCUCGUUUCUCCCUUCCACCUAUAAUAAUGGUAGAAGCUUUUCUAGAAUUCAAAUUAUAGGUCACUACUGGAGGUUUUCUUUAAUACUAUAUCUUCCCUGAAGAAAUUCUCUGCACCAACUCCCCCUGCCUCUCCCACUAACUCCUCCAUAGAAUAGCAGCAGUAGAAAGAGUCC